RNAcentral lists this long non-coding RNA (1424 nucleotides) under Pan troglodytes (chimpanzee). RNAcentral's name for it is "long non-coding RNA NONPTRT011132". Lineage: Eukaryota; Metazoa; Chordata; Mammalia; Primates; Hominidae. The record is from RNAcentral.
UCCACCAUAUAACAACGUACUUUGUUGCAGAGUAUGAUUUAGACUUUUCUGAUGCGCAAAAAUAGUAACUUCAAAUGCUGGGUAAAAAUUAAGGCGUGAUAUAUCUCAUAAAAGAAAGCUUCAUAAGAGGUAGUAAGUUUUAGUUACUGGUGAUUUUCUAGCAGACUGGAAUGUUGACCAUUCUUUGGGAAAGGAAUCAGAGGUUUUUUGUUGGGUUUUUUUGUUUUUUGAAAUGGAGUCUCGCUUUGUUGUUCAGGCUGAAGUGCAGUGGCGCAGUCUUCACUCACUGCAAACUCUGCCUCCCCAGUUCAAGUGAUUCUCCUGCCUCAGCUUCCCGAGUAGCUAGGACUACAGGCACACACCACCACACCCGGCCAAUUUUUGUAAUUUUAGUAGAGACAGGGUUUCACCAUAUUGGUCAGGCUGGUCUCGAACUCCUGACCUCAGGUGAUUACAGGCUUGAGCCACUGCACCUGGCCUGUUGUGGGGUUUUGUGGUUUGGUUUGGUUUGGUGUUUUCUGAUUACAGCAGCUUUCUCUUUAUUCUCAGUUUUGCACAGUAAUAAGUUGACUCACACAGACUUAAAGCCUGAAAACAUCUUAUUUGUGCAGUCUGACUACACAGAGGCGUAUAAUCCCAAAAUAGUAAGUCUUCCAAAAUAUUCAUAAAGUGAGUAUCUUAUGCCUUAAUAGCUUAUGCCUUCUUAACCAUCAUUUAUGAUUUUCAGAAACGUGAUGAACGCACCUUAAUAAAUCCAGAUAUUAAAGUUGUAGACUUUGGUAGUGCAACAUAUGAUGACGAACAUCACAGUACGUUGGUAUCUACAAGACAUUAUAGAGCACCUGAAGUUAUUUUAGCCCUAGGGUGGUCCCAACCAUGUGAUGUCUGGAGCAUAGGAUGCAUUCUUAUUGAAUACUAUCUUGGGUUUACCGUAUUUCCAACACACGAUAGUAAGGAGCAUUUAGCAAUGAUGGAAAGGAUUCUUGGACCUCUACCAAAACAUAUGAUACAGAAAACCAGGAAACGUAAAUAUUUUCACCAUGAUCGAUUAGACUGGGAUGAACACAGUUCUGCCGGCAGAUAUGUUUCAAGACGCUGUAAACCUCUGAAGGAAUUUAUGCUUUCUCAAGAUGUUGAACAUGAGCGUCUCUUUGACCUCAUUCAGAAAAUGUUGGAGUAUGAUCCAGCCAAAAGAAUUACUCUCAGAGAAGCCUUAAAGCAUCCUUUCUUUGACCUUCUGAAGAAAAGUAUAUAGAUCUGUAAUUGGACAGCUCUCUCGAAGAGAUCUUACAGACUGUAUCAGUCUAAUUUUUAAAUUUUAAGUUAUUUUGUACAGCUUUGUAAAUUCUUAACAUUUUUAUAUUGCCAUGUUUAUUUUGUUUGGGUAAUUUGGUUCGUUAAGUACAUAGCUAAGGUAAUGAACA